CCGAAAUAUAAUUGGCCAAGGCAUAGUAUAAAACACCAGUGCAGCAAAAGCCACAUUGGAGAGAACACGGAACACAAGCAACAAGUGCAGCAACGGCACUUGGUCUGAUCACCCGAGCAGCCGCUCUCCCCUUCUCCUGCAGAAAAUGUCCUUAAGGCCUUCGCGUAAAAUCCCUCGAAAAUAUUGGUUAGCUCAAUACAGCAUAUGGAGCACCAUAAGGCAUUUCCAUUCUCCUCAGUGUCAUCACGAUCUUGACAGCCAAAUUAUUUUUGUGGCUAUUUGAACAAUGAAGCCAUCUGUGAGGAUGAUGCCAAACCAGGAGAAAAAGAUUCAUUAUUACUUCAAGAUUUAAGGACCUGUUCCUCUCUUCACUCCUCCAGCAAAGAGAAGCUCAUUUAGUCUAGCCUACAGCUUUCAUUUCCCUUCAUCAAUGUCCAGAAGCAGAUGAUGGACAGGCAACAGAGGGACUGAUAGUUGCUUAGUUUUGGUAAAAAUCUCUUUAUACUCAAAACUAUAACUAACUAUGAACAGGGAAAUCCAUAGAAAUUUUGUGGCCUAAGUCAUGACUUAAUUUUUACAGAAUUUCCUGCAGGCAGAUUCAUUAUAACUGAGUUCCAUCACACUGAAGAUUGAUACAAAGUGGUA
This 645-nucleotide long non-coding RNA is filed under the name Crocodylus porosus (Australian saltwater crocodile). RNAcentral's name for it is "lncRNA (ENSCPRG00005010253.1)". Lineage: Eukaryota; Metazoa; Chordata; Crocodylia; Crocodylidae. The record is from RNAcentral.